GAGAGAUUUUUUUUUUUAAUUAGAAUUUAAAUUUUUAAAAUUUAAAAUUUAUAAUCUCAAAAUUAAAAUUUAUAAUUUAAAAUUAUAAACUUUAAAGUUUAAGUUUUAAAUUUGAUAUUUUUUAUUUUUAAAUUUUAAAUUUGAUAUUUUGUAUCUUUCAAAAUUUAAAUUUGAUCUUAAAUUUAAAUUUAAAAAUUAAAAUUUUAAAUUUUAAUUUCAAAUUUUAAAAUUUAAAAUUUAAAAUUUAAAUUCAAAUAUAAUGAGAAGGGUAAUAUUAUUAUUUUUUAUUUAUAACUAUCAACUAUUCUUCUUAUUCCAUUUUACUUAUCCAAACGUUAUGUUUCUUAUUUCCGGGAACAACCAAAUUUUCAUCCAAACACAAAAUUGGUCUAAUUCUCGCUUAUACCUAAACUUGUACCUAUCACUAGCAUAAGUUAGUUUUACUUAUAUCCGAACUAUACGAAGCCUUAGGUUUUUCUCUAUGUAUGCACAUGUUUUUUCAUGAGUAAAUCAUGGCAUGAACCGGAGGAAAAAAAAAAUCUAAAAUAUGCGGAUACUACAAGAUGUGGCUCAAUCCAUGAUCAUUGCACCCACUAUAAGAAAAAUUAAUAUUAAAAAUAUUUUUUAUAUUUAAUGAUAUUUUAAUUUCAAUAUAAUUUAGGAUCACAUUUAAAAGUGUCAGUUAAAUUAUUAGCAAACGAAGAGUCAUCACGUAUAUACUAAUUACGUUUAUACCAAACAUCGAUAAAAUAUAUUCAGACACUCUAAAGCGUAAGAAUUUUUCAAAAUUUUUUAAAUUCUUUAUGUUUUUAAGUGUCGAAAAAUUAAAAAAAUAAUAAUAAAGUUUAUCAUGUAAUAAAUUGAUUUGAUACAAUAAAGAAUUCAUAUGGCGACGCUUUUAAAAGUGUCUAUAUUGUAGGAGUGCUUGGUGACGCUUUUUUCUAGUGUCAUCUAAAAAACAUCUU
This 965-nucleotide long non-coding RNA is filed under the name Ananas comosus (pineapple). RNAcentral describes it as "long non-coding RNA (ACOM_LNC000367)". Lineage: Eukaryota; Viridiplantae; Streptophyta; Magnoliopsida; Poales; Bromeliaceae. The record is from RNAcentral.